UCUGUAUCUCAUGAAUAAAUAAAAAAAAAUCUUUUUAAAAAUCUUUAAAUAAAAAUCUUUUAAAAAAUAAAAUAAAAGCUCACUAGGGCUUCUGGGUAAAGAAGGGACUGGAGAGGGACAAAAAGUGGAAGUGGGGAGUCAGUUAAGAGGGUACUGCAAUAGUCCAAGCAGGAGAAGACAGGACGUGCAGAUGGAGAGAAAUAUUGGAGGGACACAUAGGAAUUGCUGGUGGACUAGAUAUGGAGGAACAAAAGAGUACAAUGAAGGCUGCCUCCUAAUUGUUUCACUUAGAACCCAGGUGAAUGGAUAAAAGAGACAUUUUGUGGGUUGGGAAAGACUAAGGGAGGAGCAGGUUUGGAAGGGGAAAGCUCACAUGCUGUGCUUUGAAUGAGUCAUCCAAGCAGAGAUGGCAGGUAUGCCGAUAGCCAGGGCUGGGCUUUGUACAAAGGCAUAGGGAAGCAUCUAUUAACUAUCCCCAGGUCAGCUUCGUACUGUGAAAGAUUACAGUAAUUUUUAGUUUAGCUAGAAAUGGAUGUUGCCUUUUCUUUCUGAAAGGAAUUCUCAUUAAGAAAUUUGAAAUAUGGGGGAUCCCUGGGUGGCGCAGCGGUUUAGCGCCUGCCUUUGGCGCAAGGCGCGAUCCUGGAGACCCUGGAUCGAAUCCCACGUCGGGCUCCCGGUGCAUGGAGCCUGCUUCUCCCUCUGCCUAUGUCUCUGCCUCUCUCUCUCUCUCUCUCUCUCUCUCUCUGUGUGUGUGUGACUAUCAUAAAAAAAAAAAAAAGAAAAGAAAAAAAAAGAAAUUUGAAAUAUGGGGCAGCCCGGGUGGCUCAGCGGUUUAGCACCGCCUUCAGUCCAGGGCGUGAUUCUAGAGACCUGGGAUCCAGUCCCAUGUCAGGCUCCCUGCAUGGAGCCUGCUUCUCCCUCUGCCUGUGUCUCUGCCUCUCUCUCUGUGUCUCUCAUGAAUAAAUAAAUAAAAUCUUAAAAAAAAAAAAGAAAUUUGAAAUAUGGUCAUCAGUGUAAGAUGAUGUUUUGCACAAUAACAAUCACAUCAGUAAAACAAGUGACAGAAACCCAAGUCUGACUGGCUAAUGCAAAAGAGCACUUUUGGGGGCACCCAUUGGCUCAGCUAGUUAAGUGUGAGACUCUUGGUUUCCACAGGUCAUGGUCCCGGGGUCACGGGAUGGAGCCCCACAUUCAGCUUCUCUGCACUCAGCAUGAAGUCUGCUUGGGAUUUCCUCCCUCCCUCUCCUGCUGCCCCUCCUCCUGCUCACUCCUGCUCAUGAUCUCUCUUUCUCUCAAAUAAACAAAUAUGACUCUAAAAAAAAAAAAAAAAAAAC
This 1334-nucleotide long non-coding RNA is filed under the name Canis lupus familiaris (dog). RNAcentral describes it as "lncRNA (ENSCAFG00845025101.1)". Lineage: Eukaryota; Metazoa; Chordata; Mammalia; Carnivora; Canidae. The record is from RNAcentral.